Molecule: ribosomal RNA, 253 nt
Filed under: uncultured bacterium
Lineage: Bacteria
Description: partial 16S ribosomal RNA
Rfam family: Bacterial small subunit ribosomal RNA
Source: RNAcentral
UACGGAGGGUGCAAGCGUUAAUCGGAAUUACUGGGCGUAAAGCGUGCGUAGGCGGUUAUUUAAGUCAGGUGUGAAAGCCCCGGGCUCAACCUGGGAAUUGCAUUUGAGACUGAAUAGCUAGGGUGCGGAAGAGGGAAGCGGAAUUUCCGGUGUAGCGGUGAAAUGCGUAGAUAUCGGAAGGAACACCAGUGGCGAAAGCGGCUUCCUGGUCCAGAACUGACGUUCAGGCACGAAAGCGUGGGGAGCAAACGGG